CGCCCGAAUUCCUACAGUUACCGUUCUGCCGCGGAACGAGGCCACGAGAAACCAACUGCCCAACUCAGGGGAAGAACCCAGAUACCAAACCAAGCGAAAAGAACGUAGCUAAAAACAAGUUAUUGUUUCAUGCUUAUAAAAAGGUUCUCAUGCACCAAAAAAAAUAAAAAAAUACACAUUUUCUUUUACAAUAAGCAAUAGUUCUGUUGUUCUAGCACACCCUGCUGUCUAGCUCGUAAUCAUGUAACACGUAUGAUUAAUACUUACGCCACAGUAAAGUGAUGCUUCACUGUUAUCUUCACAGUACUUCAUUACAUAGAAAAGAUACAUUUGAGAACAUAUUUAAUAUUAUUCUAAUUGUUGCUAAAAUACACAACUUAUAAAAGGAUUUCUCUGGAAUCCACGUGUUUACCUCCCCCCGACCCUUACACAAAAUAAAUAAGGAAGUGGAUCUUCGGCCAGUCAGAAAUAUAAGAAAAGCAUUUCUUUUGCAUUUCAAGCUUUUCAGGCUUUAGAACAGAAACCAUAGUGUUUACGUUAGCUCAACAGGACUGAUCUAAAAUGGGUAUGAUUCUGACUAUGAGCUGAUGCAUACAUGCUAUUCCUGGUUACCGUAUGUAGGAGGACCAAUCAAAGAAAUAACACUUUUUUUUUUNNNNUAAAUAUAUAUGUAUGUAUAUAUAUAUAUUAUAUAUAUAUGAGAGAGAGAUGAUAGGACGGGUGUUUAUAUUUUAAAGCCCAAUACAGAACUAGGAGAGCCUCUGCACUAUAUUCCCAUCAAAACACAACUGAAUUAAGUCCAGAAAUGGAUUAUGGCUGAUUCAAAACAGUUAUUAAAAAAGUGUGAUUUUUCUACUGUACCAUAAACUCAUAUUAAUGCUCUGAGCAAUUUAGGAUAUACUCUCCUCCAUCACAAAACUAAACCUUUGCAUUUUCUUCAAGUCAUUUUGCAUCUAAGUAGAAUUUUUGGAAAGCGAGAUAAAAUAGCUAGUGCUUAAUAUAGAAAGUCAAAAAUUAAAUUCCUUCUGCAUCUGAGAAUAUACAUGGGUCACUCUUUGCUGCCUGAGGUUUUCCAGAAUUAUUGACCAAGCCGUGCACAGAUGAACUUAAGGAUACUGGAUGAAAAUUUUUUAAAGAAAGAAAUCUUGAAAAACUCCACUAAAAAUUUCUAACCUCUUUUUUUUUUUUUUUUCAUUUGUUCUCUCUGU
This 1208-nucleotide long non-coding RNA is filed under the name Anas zonorhyncha (Eastern spot-billed duck). RNAcentral's name for it is "lncRNA (ENSAZOG00000003847.1)". Lineage: Eukaryota; Metazoa; Chordata; Aves; Anseriformes; Anatidae. The record is from RNAcentral.